This 433-nucleotide ribosomal RNA is filed under the name uncultured bacterium. Its description in RNAcentral is "partial 16S ribosomal RNA". It matches the Rfam family "Bacterial small subunit ribosomal RNA", at positions 29 to 507 of the family's 1533-position model. The record is from RNAcentral.
AACGAACGCUGGCGGCAUGCCUAACACAUGCAAGUCGAACGAGACCGUCGGGUUUAGGGGCGCACGGGUGCGUAAGGCGUGGGAAGCUGCCCUUAGGUUCGGAAUAACUCCCCGAAAGGUGUGCUAAUACCGGUUAAUGUCUUCGGACCAAAGAUUUAUUGCUGUUGGAUGGGCGCGCGUUGGAUUCGCUAGUUGGUAGGGGAAAAGCCUACCAAGGCGAGGUUCCAUAGCUGGUCUGUGAGGAUGACCCGGCAGACUGGAGCUGCGGCACGGCCCAGACUCCGACGGGAGGCAGGGGAGGGGAAUAUUAGACAAUGGAGGAAAGCCUGGUCAAGCAAUGCGGCGUGAGUGAUGAAGGCCUUAGGGUUGUAAAGCUCUUUUACCCGGGAUGAUAAUGACGGUACCGGGUAAAUAAGCACCGGCUAACUACGUG